UAGUCAUAUGCUUGUCUCAAAGAUUAAGCCAUGCAUGUCUAAGUAUAAGCAAUCUAUACGGUGAAACUGCGAAUGGCUCAUUAAAUCAGUUAUCGUUUAUUUGAUAGUACCUUACUACUUGGAUAACCGUGGUAAUUCUAGAGCUAAUACAUGCUAAAAACCCCGACUUCGGAAGGGGUGUAUUUAUUAGAUAAAAAACCAAUGCCCUUUGGGGCUCCUUGGUGAUUCAUAAUAACUUAACGAAUCGCAUGGCCUUGUGCCGGCGAUGGUUCAUUCAAAUUUCUGCCCUAUCAACUUUCGAUUGUAAGGUAGUGGCUUACAAUGGUUUCAACGGGUAACGGGGAAUUAGGGUUCUAUUCCGGAGAGGGAGCCUGAGAAACGGCUACCACAUCCAAGGAAGGCAGCAGGCGCGCAAAUUACCCAAUCCCGACACGGGGAGGUAGUGACAAUAAAUACUGAUACAGGGCUCUUUUGGGUCUUGUAAUUGGAAUGAGUACAAUUUAAAUCCCU
RNAcentral lists this ribosomal RNA (510 nucleotides) under uncultured eukaryote. RNAcentral's name for it is "SSU rRNA". It matches the Rfam family "Eukaryotic small subunit ribosomal RNA", at positions 21 to 534 of the family's 1831-position model. The record is from RNAcentral.